Molecule: ribosomal RNA, 1432 nt
Filed under: Trissopathes cf. tetracrada NB-2020
Lineage: Eukaryota; Metazoa; Cnidaria; Anthozoa; Antipatharia; Cladopathidae
Description: partial 28S ribosomal RNA
Rfam family: Eukaryotic large subunit ribosomal RNA
Source: RNAcentral
CUCGACCUCAGAUCAGACAAGGCUACCCGCUGAAUUUAAGCAUAUUAAUAAGCGGAGGAAAAGAAACUAACAAGGAUUCCCCCAGUAACGGCGAGUGAAGCGGGAUCAGCUCAAAUUUAAAAUCUCCGUUGCUUGCAACGGCGAAUUGUAGUUUCGAGAAGCGCUUUCUAGGUGGGCCGGCUGCGCCUAAGUUGCUUGGAACAGCACGUCAUAGAGGGUGACAACCCCGUCUGUGGCGUAGGCGGCCGCUGACGAUGUGCUUUCGAAGAGUCGGGUUGUUUGGGAAUGCAGCCCAAAAUGGGUGGUAAACUCCAUCUAAAGCUAAAUAUUGGCACGAGACCGAUAGCGAACAAGUACCGUGAGGGAAAGAUGAAAAGGACUUUGGAAAGAGAGUUAAAAAGUACGUGAAACCGUUAAAAGGGAAACGAAUGGAGCUAGCAAUGCACCCUGUGAGAUUCAGCCGGUCGGUGGUCCGGGCGUGUGGUUUGCAGAUCUGAAUCGACUGUGGCCACACGCUUCUGGCUUCCUGCCGUCGCACUUCCCGCGGGUGCGCGUCAACAUGGGUUGGGACCGGGUCUGAAAGGCACCGGCAAGGUAGGUCCGCACCUUCGGGUUCGUACUGUUCUAGGCCGGCGUUUUCGCGGCCCGUGCCUGACCGAGGAGUUUGCAGCACAUGCCUCGUUUGGCUGGAGUCCCGUCCUGCCGGUUGGCUGUCGACUGUGGUGGACUGCGUGCAGUGCACCGCGACUGCAGCCGGUCGCUGGGGCGGUGACUUCGCACGAUGUGCUUAGGAUGUUGGCGGUCAUAUGGCUUCAUCCGACCCGUCUUGAAACACGGACCAAGGAGUCUACCAUAUGCGCAAGUCUUUGGGUGAUUGAAACCCGCGGGCGCAAUGAAAGUGAAGGCGGCUUCGGCCUGCCGAGGUGAGAACCUCCCCUUAUCGGGGUGGCACAUCAUCGACCGACCUGUUCUACUCUUAGGAAGGUUUGAGUAAGAGCGCAUUUGUUGGGACCCGAAAGAUGGUGAACUAUGCCUGAAUAGGGUGAAGCCAGAGGAAACUCUGGUGGAGGCUCGUAGCGAUUCUGACGUGCAAAUCGAUCGUCAAAUUUGGGUAUAGGGGCGAAAGACUAAUCGAACUGUCUAGUAGCUGGUUCCCUCCGAAGUUUCCCUCAGGAUAGCAGGAGCUCAUUGCAGUUUUAUCAGGUAAAGCGAAUGAUUAGAGGUCUUAGGGUUAAAACAACCUUAACCUAUUCUCAAACUUUAAAUUGGUAAGAAGUCCGACUUGCUCGAUUGAAGCCGGACGUGGAAUGCGAGUUCCUAGUGGGCCAUUUUUGGUAAGCAGAACUGGCGAUGCGGGAUGAACCGAACGCCGAGUUAAGGUGCCAAAGUCGACGCUCAUCAGACCCCACAAAAGGUGUUGGUUGCUAUAGAC